UUACAGCGGCAUGAAUGAGCAUCUUGACCUAGUGCGAAGCUGUAACUUCAAGGAAGUAAUCUUAAUGCUGCUUGAAUGAAUAUCUUGACCCGGUGCAAAGCAGUAACUUCAAGGAACGCAAUCAUAAUGGUAGAAGCAAUCUCUGCCUUGUGCUUGUGGAAUCUUUAGCUCCAAAGAUGCUCCUGAAAGUCAAUAUGAUUUCAAGGUUUCUUGAAAUGAGCUGAACCAAGAGAUUGCUGCUUAUUAAUGGGUGAACAGCACAGGAUGGCUAAGCUAUUUGUUUAAGCAUUACAAGGCACUUCUGUUGGAAGUAUUAUCAAUAUACCAAUUGGGAAAACUAGAUUUAGGUGAUAUUGAAUUUAAAAUAUUCAUAUUAAUGUUUCAACUUGGUAGCUUUUUGUUCAAUAUAUUAUAUACAGCCACAUUUUCAGCUGUCUAUAGACUUUACAAAUUUAAAGAUUUGGGAUAGACCAACCCUCUGUUUUCAAACAAAAAACUUGAACAAUUGGCUUAGCCACAGGGUGAAUAUUCAUUAGACACUAGCUUCAGCAAUUGGAUCCUAAAUUUCACCUACAUGAAAGGAGCUGUUGAAUCUUUAGCUUCAAAGAUGCUCUGGAGGUUAUGGUUAGUAUAUAUAUCUGACAGUUAUUUCAAGCUAAGAUCAAUGUAUGAUCAAUCAUUAUUUUAUUUAUAUUAAAUUUUAAAGCAUUUUCCUCCAUGUACAGUACUGUAACUAUUUUGUGGCCGGUCAGGGUUCCAUCUCUUCAAUACCAGUAUGUUGAGACUUGUAUUAUCUUGCUGGUUUUGUGUAAGGGAGCCUUACCUUGCAAUGAGUGUUCACGUUCUUCAGUCUUAAUGGUUACCUUUGGUGAAAGACUUUUCUUUGGGGAAAAGGAAGUCAUAAAUUUUGGCGAUUCUUUAAAUGUGGCAGAAAUAGCCCUUCAGUGAUUAUCAAAUUAAAAUUUUGUAUUGAAUUGUCAGUAAAUAAAUGUUCGCAUUCUGUACAUUAAUGACUCAUUAAUGAUGUGUAUAAGUACAUGGGUCCGUUUCUUCCUGGAGGGAGCAGACGGGUGAUUUUCUUAGAUACAUUGUCUUUGUGGUAGAAUAUUCAAAUAUUGUAUGGAAGGAUUCUUACAUGUGAAUUUAUUAAUAAACAUUAGUGUUUAAA
Non-coding RNA from Procambarus clarkii (red swamp crayfish), 1168 nucleotides. The record is from RefSeq and is a predicted model, not a curated record. Lineage: Eukaryota; Metazoa; Arthropoda; Malacostraca; Decapoda; Cambaridae.